UACGGGGGGGGCAAGCGUUGUUCGGAAUUACUGGGCGUAAAGGGCUCGUAGGCGGCCAACUAAGUCAGACGUGAAAUCCCCAGGCUCAACCUGGGAACUGCGUCUGAUACUGGUUGGCUUGAAUCCGGGAGAGGGAUGCAGAAUUCCAGGUGUAGCGGUGAAAUGCGUAGAUAUCUGGAGGAAUACCGGUGGCGAAGGCGGCAUCCUGGACCAUUACUGACGCUGAGGCGCGAAAGCUAGGGGAGCAAACGGG
This 253-nucleotide ribosomal RNA is filed under the name uncultured bacterium. RNAcentral describes it as "partial 16S ribosomal RNA". It matches the Rfam family "Bacterial small subunit ribosomal RNA", at positions 524 to 776 of the family's 1533-position model. The record is from RNAcentral.